UACGUAGGGUGCAAGCGUUAAUCGGAAUUACUGGGCGUAAAGCGCGCGUAGGCGGUUUUUUAAGUCAGAUGUGAAAGCCCCGGGCUCAACCUGGGAAUUGCAUUUGAAACUGGGAAACUAGAGUGUGUGAGAGGGGGGUAGAAUUCCAAGUGUAGCGGUGAAAUGCGUAGAGAUUUGGAGGAAUACCAGUGGCGAAGGCGGCCCCCUGGCACAACACUGACGCUCAGGUGCGAAAGCGUGGGGAGCAAACAGG
This 253-nucleotide ribosomal RNA is filed under the name uncultured bacterium. Its description in RNAcentral is "partial 16S ribosomal RNA". It matches the Rfam family "Bacterial small subunit ribosomal RNA", at positions 524 to 776 of the family's 1533-position model. The record is from RNAcentral.